Non-coding RNA from Echria macrotheca, 139 nucleotides. NCBI's taxonomy places the organism in Eukaryota, Fungi, Ascomycota, Sordariomycetes, Sordariales, Schizotheciaceae. The record is from the annotation of a GenBank genome assembly.
GGGCGGGUAGCGUAGUUGGUCAGCGCAUUCACUGAGCGUAUUCUUCUUAAGUAAUUUUAAUAAUAGCGUUGAUUUAUUCUCUUCUUCAUACACGAACAGCGUUCACUGAAAGACCUGGGUUCGAAUCCCAGUCCGCCCA